GAUGAAGAACGUAGCGAAAUGCGAUACUUGGUGUGAAUUGCAGAAUCCCGUGAACCAUCGAGUCUUUGAACGCAAGUUGCGCCCGAAGCCAUCAGGUUGAGGGCACGUCUGCCUGGGCGUCACAUAUCGUUGCCCAAUGCCUAUUGCAGUGCAAUAGGAAUUUCUAGGGCGAAUGAUGGCUUCCCGUGAGCGUUGUUGCCUCGCGGUUGGUUGAAAAUCGAGUCCCUGGUAGGGUGUGCCAUGGUAGAUGGUGGUCGAGUUAGAACGAUACCGAUCAUGUGCAUGCUCCCCAAAAUAUGGCCUCUAUGACCCACACGCGUCUUUUGACGCUCAUGACGAGACCUCAGGUCAGGCGGGGCUACCCGCUGAAUUUAAGCAUAUCAAUAAGCGGAGGA
Molecule: unclassified non-coding RNA, 395 nt
Filed under: soil metagenome
Description: partial contains 5.8S ribosomal RNA, internal transcribed spacer 2, and large subunit ribosomal RNA
Rfam family: 5.8S ribosomal RNA (bases 1-122)
Source: RNAcentral